UACGUAGGGACCGAGCGUUGUCCGGAAUCAUUGGGCGUAAAGAGCGUGUAGGCGGCCACUUAAGUCCUGCGUGAAAUCUUGCGGCUCAACCGCAAGCGGUCGUGGGAAACUGGGUGGCUAGAGUGCGGGAGAGGAGAGUGGAAUUCCUGGUGUAGCGGUGGAAUGCGCAGAUAUCAGGAGGAACACCGAUGGCGAAGGCAGCUCGCUGGGACGGUACUGACGCUGAGGCGCGAAAGCGUGGGGAGCGAACAGG
Molecule: ribosomal RNA, 253 nt
Filed under: uncultured bacterium
Lineage: Bacteria
Description: partial 16S ribosomal RNA
Rfam family: Bacterial small subunit ribosomal RNA
Source: RNAcentral